Molecule: ribosomal RNA, 547 nt
Filed under: Saccharomyces cerevisiae (brewer's yeast)
Lineage: Eukaryota; Fungi; Ascomycota; Saccharomycetes; Saccharomycetales; Saccharomycetaceae
Description: partial large subunit ribosomal RNA
Rfam family: Eukaryotic large subunit ribosomal RNA
Source: RNAcentral
UGAGCGGCAAAAGCUCAAAUUUGAAAUCUGGUACCUUCGGUGCCCGAGUUGUAAUUUGGAGAGGGCAACUUUGGGGCCGUUCCUUGUCUAUGUUCCUUGGAACAGGACGUCAUAGAGGGUGAGAAUCCCGUGUGGCGAGGAGUGCGGUUCUUUGUAAAGUGCCUUCGAAGAGUCGAGUUGUUUGGGAAUGCAGCUCUAAGUGGGUGGUAAAUUCCAUCUAAAGCUAAAUAUUGGCGAGAGACCGAUAGCGAACAAGUACAGUGAUGGAAAGAUGAAAAGAACUUUGAAAAGAGAGUGAAAAAGUACGUGAAAUUGUUGAAAGGGAAGGGCAUUUGAUCAGACAUGGUGUUUUGUGCCCUCUGCUCCUUGUGGGUAGGGGAAUCUCGCAUUUCACUGGGCCAGCAUCAGUUUUGGUGGCAGGAUAAAUCCAUAGGAAUGUAGCUUGCCUCGGUAAGUAUUAUAGCCUGUGGGAAUACUGCCAGCUGGGACUGAGGACUGCGACGUAAGUCAAGGAUGCUGGCAUAAUGGUUAUAUGCCGCCCGUCUUG